This 468-nucleotide ribosomal RNA is filed under the name uncultured bacterium. Its description in RNAcentral is "partial 16S ribosomal RNA". It matches the Rfam family "Bacterial small subunit ribosomal RNA", at positions 28 to 507 of the family's 1533-position model. The record is from RNAcentral.
GACGAACGCUGGCGGCGUGCUUAACACAUGCAAGUCGAACGGAAAGGCCCUGCUUUUGUGGGGUGCUCGAGUGGCGAACGGGUGAGUAACACGUGAGUAACCUGCCCUUGACUUUGGGAUAACUUCAGGAAACUGGGGCUAAUACCGGAUAGGAGCUCCUGCUGCAUGGUGGGGGUUGGAAAGUUUCGGCGGUUGGGGAUGGACUCGCGGCUUAUCAGCUUGUUGGUGGGGUAGUGGCUUACCAAGGCUUUGACGGGUAGCCGGCCUGAGAGGGUGACCGGCCACAUUGGGACUGAGAUACGGCCCGGACUCCUACGGGAGGCAGCAGUGGGGAAGAUUGCACAAUGGGCGGAAGCCUGAUGCAGCAACGCCGCGUGCGGGAUGACGGCCUUCGGGUUGUAAACCGCUUUCGCCUGUGACGAAGCGUGAGUGACGGUAAUGGGUAAAGAAGCACCGGCUAACUACGUG